RNAcentral lists this ribosomal RNA (557 nucleotides) under uncultured Acidobacteriota bacterium. Its description in RNAcentral is "bacterial SSU rRNA". It matches the Rfam family "Bacterial small subunit ribosomal RNA", at positions 36 to 572 of the family's 1533-position model. The record is from RNAcentral. Lineage: Bacteria; Pseudomonadati; Acidobacteriota.
CUGGUGGNGUGCCUAACACAUNCAAGUCGAACGCGAAAACCUCGCAAGAGGUCUGUAGAGUGGCAAACGGGUGAGUAAUACGUGGGUGACCUGCCUUCGAGUGGGGGAUAACGUCUCGAAAGGGACGCUAAUACCGCAUGACAUCCUGCCUUUGAACAGGUGGAGAUCAAAGCCGGGGUCGCAANACCUGGCGCUUGAAGAGGGGCCCACGCCCGAUUAGCUAGUUGGUGAGGUAACGGCCCACCAAGGCGACGAUCGGUAGCCGGCCUAAGAGGGCGGACGGCCACACUGGGACUGAGACACGGCCCAGACUCCUACGGGAGGCAGCAGUGGGGAAUUGUUCGCAAUGGGCGCAAGCCUGACGACGCAACGCCGCGUGGAGGAUGAAGAUUUUCGGAUCGUAAACUCCUGUCGAGCGGGACGAAAGAUCCGCGACCUAAUACGUCGUGGAAGUGACGGUACCGCUAGAAGGAAGCCCCGGCUAACUCCGUGCCAGCAGCCGCGGUAAUACGGGGGGGGCAAGCGUUGUUCGGAAUUACUGGGCGUAAAGGGCUCGU